UUAAUCAAAACCGUAAGUAUAUUCAUACAUUCAAGUAACAUAAAACUGGCCUAUCUGCCUUAAUGUGCGUUUCUAUCAGCUAAAAGUCCCAUGUAGUAUAUCUUCAAAGUAACUUUAUUGUUGCUCAGAUUCAGAGCUUGACAAUUCAGACAUUGCUCCAAAGGAUCUGAAGGUCAGUGUCAUGGGAGAGAAGGCACCUGACAGAAACACCAUGGCUUCCUUGGAAAGUGUGCGUGCUUUUGUUCUGUUACAAUGAAAAUGCAUCUUCACUGAGACUAGCACUGUUGGCAGUCUCAAGGGAAAGGGGAAGUUCUGAUUUGCACAUUUUUUUCUUCUGCAGGGUCUCUUUGGCAGAGCAGGAUGCAGAAGCCCCUCCUGCCAUGACUUGCCCUGUAGUUACUUUGUGGGGAGAACAGAUGAGUUCAGCAUACAGGUCAGUUCAUCCUUGUGCUCAGAAGCAGAUCUCCAUCCUCAGGGUUUGA
This 482-nucleotide long non-coding RNA is filed under the name Cyanistes caeruleus (blue tit). RNAcentral describes it as "lncRNA (ENSCCEG00000014111.1)". The record is from RNAcentral. Lineage: Eukaryota; Metazoa; Chordata; Aves; Passeriformes; Paridae.